AUUAUGCAGCAUUAUUCACAUGCGAAUAAUAUAAAUACAGUCUAUUAUACAGCAUUAUUCACAUGUGAAUAAUAUAGUGUAUUAUACAGCAUUAUUCACAUGUGAAUAAUAUAAAUACAGUCUAUUAUACAGCAUUAUUCACAUGUGAAUAAUAUAAAUCAUCUAUUAUACAGCAUUAUUCACAUGUGAAUAAUAUAAAUACAGUCUAUUAUACAGCAUUAUUCACAUGUGAAUAAUAUAAAUACAGUCUAUUAUACAGCAUUAUUCACAUGUGAAUAAUAUAAAUACAGUAUUAUACAGCAUUAAACACAUUUAUGAUGUCAUUUUUGUAUAUGUAAAGCAUGUUGGGAGGCAUGGGACUUUACUCGACCUUGAAUGGGAGCAAUCAAUUCUACCUCUAAAUCACUUAAAAAAAUGCUUUCAAAAACCGUCAACAAUACUUCAUUUACGUUCCGUCACCUGUACAAUAACCAAGCUGUAGCAACAUUGUUAUUGUAAGAGCGAACACUGAGGAACUCUUUUUCUAGCUUAAUAACACAUCGGCGUGCCGUAAAAAUCUAACUACGGCGAGAAAUAAGCCCGCUACUACGUCAGCACCUGAAUUGAGUUUGAGUUUAUAAUGCACAACACAAUGCGAUGGGACACCCAAUCUGUACUGACUGAAACACAUGAACAAUCAUAUUAACCCACAUUUCAUGUUUUGUUUGUACACGAUGACGUAAUGUGUGUAUCAUGAGCAGUAUUUAAAGUGCGACUCACCCGAUGGUUCGUUUGGUCCAGCUGGCCAGGGAUGUGUUUUUUCCCGGUUUAUUUGGGUAAGCACUCCAUUUAUGUCAAAAUAGCUUGGCUCCAAGUUGUGUGAAGUGAAUUAUACUUAUAUAGCGCUUUUCUCUUUGCAUAGUGAAACCCAAUAUCUAAGUUGCAUUUAAACCAGUGUCUUUUCACAUUUAUAACGUCGUCCCUUUCACCUCACUCUCUCAGCUUCCGUCCGCGCCAACGUUUCACUCUUCUAGAAGCAGUAGUUCAUCCUCUGUAUAUUCACCUUCAAAAAAUAUAAGUUAGUCCAAAACUAGUCGUCUCCGUUGUCCGAUUAGAACACAACACACAUUUGUUGCCGGAAGUCGGAAGUGCGUUGCUAUGGAAACGGAAUGCAUAAAAUGACCAAAAUACGAACAUAUAUGAACAUAUUACGUAUUGUUAUGGAUGUGUGUGUUACUACAUUAUAUAUAAACUUGCAGUGUGUAUAUAAAAUGUUGAUGGAGUUGUUUUAAAGGGCUUUGAAGGCUACAACAUUUUUAAUCAUCUUUAAAAUCCUAAUUUAAAAAAAAAAAAGUGUGUUCUUGUCUCUCAUAAUGAUUGUGAACGAUAGGCAAAAUAAAAAUGAAAAAGUGCAGUCCCUUUUAAGUCUUGCUGACUACAACAAAAUAAUAAAAGUUGCUGAUGCCUCACACCAGAGGGGCCGGGGUCAAAAUUUGGCUGCGGACUUUUAGGAUUUUCAGGUCCAGACUGGCUCACAAGAUCACCUUCAAUCAGUAUGUGGACAUGGACCAGCAUUGUGACCCCACUUGAAGACUUUUACUUAUAUAGUGGUGAGUCACUUCAAAAUGUUCCAUUUCCUUGACGACUCUUCACUUUAAACAUAUUUUCUUAUUCUCUCGAGUCGAAUAACUCAAGUAAACCCUGACUACGGACUGGAGUAUCCGCACAAAGACCAUUCUGGUGAGCCACUGAUUGACACAUGCAAGGUGUUCCAGGUCCAAAUCGUCACAAUCGCAGAGUUUCCCGAGGAAAGGCAGCCUGGACACGUUUCACCAAAGUGGUCAAAUCAAUACACUACAUCACAGCACGUCUCACUCCCUUCCACGCGUCUCCACUCUCAUCUCAGCAUCCCGUCUGCUAAAUCAGGGAUUAAAGCAAGAUUACGAUCGCUGCCUCCCUCGCUGUGAACCCGUCCGGUUACGCCGCGAGUGAAACGACUUCAAUCCACCUCGGGUGUGCGACGGGACAAUUAAAAAGGAACCCUGAGCUGACAACAUUCAGCAGAGGUGCAUUGAUGCCGCAGCAGAGCUGAAGUGCGACUCCUCGAGAUUAAUAGCCCGGCUUUAGCGCAGACACUCUCAGGGAGCUCGGCACGCCGUUAGACCGGGCCAAUUAGUGCACGGAGAACAAUAGCCAAUUAGGGCUAAUUACGCAGCAAAACUGUUAUUGUUUCAAGCUGCAAGCUAGUCUGAAAGACUGUAUUCUGCUGGAUGUGUUCAAAUACAAAGUUUCAUCCUCGUAAUCGACAGCUUUUGGGCAAUAAUCAGGGUCCUUGCACAAGAAUACGACUUAUCUCUUUUAAAUGUGACUUUAGUCUACUUCUGUUUUGUUUGAUCAGCCGUUUUACUGCUGUGUUACAGCACAUUAUAGACCAAAAUUUUGGACACACCUUCUCAAUCAAUGUGUGUUCUUUAUUUUCAUGACUAUUUACAUUGUAGAUUGUCACUGAAGGCAUCAAAACUACAAAUGAACACAUGUGGAGUUAUGUACUUAACAAAAAAAAAAGGUGAAAUAACUGAAAACAUGUUUUAUAUUCUAGUUUCUUCAAAAAUAGCCACCCUUUGCUCUGAUUACUGCUUUGCACACUCUUGGCAUUCUCUCCAUGAGCUUCAAGCGGUAGUCACCUGAAAUGGUUUU
Nerophis lumbriciformis (worm pipefish) is the source of this 2676-nucleotide long non-coding RNA. RefSeq lists it as uncharacterized. The record is from RefSeq and is a predicted model, not a curated record. Lineage: Eukaryota; Metazoa; Chordata; Actinopteri; Syngnathiformes; Syngnathidae.